CGCCGAUGACAGAUCAACGCUUAAGCAACGGGCUGUUUGACAGCACUAUACCACCUAACGAACAGAAGGAUACGGGUUGAGCGGGAAAGGGUUUGCAGCAUCCAACAUAAAUUCGAUCUAACGCCCGCCUUUUCUUCGUCCCCCUCUUUCACCUUGACUCGACGACAAAAUAUUCGAAUAGGAUGUUGUCUUGUCGGUGCAAGAGCGAGGGAGGCAAAAAAGGUAGCUAAGGUUUUAAAGCGGUGUUAGACGAUCCUAACCCUAAGUUGUUUCUCUGCAGAACUCUUACGAGUAAGUGGUAUCUGCACUUCUUUCGCAUAACCUUUGAAGAGAUUAUGCGAUUUCCAGUCGAGCUUUACGGAGGCUUUGUUCAAGUUCUUCUUUACCAUCCCCCCUUCCGCAGGAGAGGAAAUCGGGAAACGUAAGAACGGAUGCCCAAACCCUUCCCACCCCUGCUCUACUGUUCGAUUUUGGUUGUUCUCGAGGCCUCCCCCUUCUCCUCUCCACCAUGAAUCGGAAAGGAAGCAAGGGAAAAAACACCAACUCUGCGGAGUCACAACACCUCGUCUGGGGUCGUUGGUGGUGUAUAGAGCUUCGUCGCUCGCCUUUCCUUUCUUCUUUUCGGAUCGCUAGGUUGGGUGGGGGGGCAGAAAAGUGGCAAUUUUUCUUCCUUGUAGGGUU
RNAcentral lists this non-coding RNA (681 nucleotides) under Ustilago xerochloae. The record is from RNAcentral. Lineage: Eukaryota; Fungi; Basidiomycota; Ustilaginomycetes; Ustilaginales; Ustilaginaceae.